AGCAUCUGCCAAGGAUGUUUUCAUUAAUCAAGAACGAAAGUUAGGGGAUCGAAGACGAUCAGAUACCGUCGUAGUCUUAACCAUAAACGAUGCCGACCAGCGAUUAGGAGACGUUGAAUACAAAACACCACCAUCGGCGCGGUCGUCCUUGGCGUCUCGGUCCUUCACGGGGCCGGGGCGCGGGGGCGGCUUAGCCCGGUGGCACCGGUGAAUGACUCCCCUAGGAGCUUGUGAGA
This 236-nucleotide ribosomal RNA is filed under the name Acanthamoeba sp. AKSI010. Its description in RNAcentral is "partial 18S ribosomal RNA". It matches the Rfam family "Eukaryotic small subunit ribosomal RNA", at positions 950 to 1095 of the family's 1831-position model. The record is from RNAcentral. Lineage: Eukaryota; Discosea; Longamoebia; Acanthamoebidae.